UACGAAGGGGGCUAGCGUUGCUCGGAAUUACUGGGCGUAAAGCGCACGUAGGCGGAUUGUUAAGUCGGGGGUGAAAUCCUGGAGCUCAACUCCAGAACUGCCUUCGAUACUGGCGAUCUCGAGUUCGGGAGAGGUGAGUGGAACUGCGAGUGUAGAGGUGAAAUUCGUAGAUAUUCGCAAGAACACCAGUGGCGAAGGCGGCUCACUGGCCCGAUACUGACGCUGAGGAGCGAAAGCGAGGGGAGCAAACGGG
This 253-nucleotide ribosomal RNA is filed under the name uncultured bacterium. RNAcentral describes it as "partial 16S ribosomal RNA". It matches the Rfam family "Bacterial small subunit ribosomal RNA", at positions 524 to 776 of the family's 1533-position model. The record is from RNAcentral.